GCUAGCGUAGCUUAAUAUAAAGCAUAGCACUGAAGAUGCUAAGACGGGUUUUAGAAGACUCCGCAUGCA
This 69-nucleotide transfer RNA is filed under the name Enteromius hulstaerti (butterfly barb). Its description in RNAcentral is "tRNA-Phe". It matches the Rfam family "tRNA". Rfam says of the family: Transfer RNA (tRNA) molecules are approximately 80 nucleotides in length. Their secondary structure includes four short double-helical elements and three loops (D, anti-codon, and T loops). Lineage: Eukaryota; Metazoa; Chordata; Actinopteri; Cypriniformes; Cyprinidae. The record is from RNAcentral.